GAGUAAUACUUAGGAAUCUACCUAGUAGUGGGGGAUAGCUCGGGGAAACUCGAAUUAAUACCGCAUACGACCUACGGGAGAAAGGGGGCAGUUUACUGCUCUCGCUAUUAGAUGAGCCUAAGUCGGAUUAGCUAGAUGGUGGGGUAAAGGCCUACCAUGGCGACGAUCUGUAGCUGGUCUGAGAGGAUGAUCAGCCACACCGGGACUGAGACACGGCCCGGACUCCUACGGGAGGCAGCAGUGGGGAAUAUUGGACAAUGGGGGAAACCCUGAUCCAGCCAUGCCGCGUGUGUGAAGAAGGCCUUUUGGUUGUAAAGCACUUUAAGCAGUGAAGAAGACUCCGUGGUUAAUACCCACGGACGAUGACAUUAGCUGCAGAAUAAGCACCGGCUAACUCUGUGCCAGCAGCCGCGGUAAUACAGAGGGUGCAAGCGUUAAUCGGAAUUACUGGGCGUAAAGGGAGCGUAGGUGGCUCGAUAAGUCAGAUGUGAAAUCCCCGGGCUCAACCUGGGAACUGCAUCUGAAACUGUUGAGCUAGAGUAUGUGAGAGGAAGGUAGAAUUCCAGGUGUAGCGGUGAAAUGCGUAGAGAUCUGGAGGAAUACCGAUGGCGAAGGCAGCCUUCUGGCAUAAUACUGACACUGAGGCUCGAAAGCGUGGGUAGCAAACAGGAUUAGAUACCCUGGUAGUCCACGCCGUAAACGAUGUCUACUAGUCGUUGGGUCCCUUGAGGACUUAGUGACGCAGCUAACGCAAUAAGUAGACCGCCUGGGGAGUACGGCCGCAAGGUUAAAACUCAAAUGAAUUGACGGGGGCCCGCACAAGCGGUGGAGCAUGUGGUUUAAUU
Molecule: ribosomal RNA, 845 nt
Filed under: Psychrobacter sp.
Lineage: Bacteria; Pseudomonadati; Pseudomonadota; Gammaproteobacteria; Moraxellales; Moraxellaceae
Description: bacterial SSU rRNA
Rfam family: Bacterial small subunit ribosomal RNA
Source: RNAcentral